AGAGUUUGAUCAUGGCUCAGGACGAACGCUGGCGGCGUGCUUAACACAUGCAAGUCGAACGGAAAGGCCCUUCGGGGUACUCGAGUGGCGAACGGGUGAGUAACACGUGGGUGAUCUGCCCUGCACUUUGGGAUAAGCCUGGGAAACUGGGUCUAAUACCGAAUAGGACCGCGCGCUUCAUGGUGUGUGGUGGAAAGCUUUUGCGGUGUGGGAUGGGCCCGCGGCCUAUCAGCUUGUUGGUGGGGUAAUGGCCUACCAAGGCGACGACGGGUAGCCGGCCUGAGAGGGUGACCGGCCACACUGGGACUGAGAUACGGCCCAGACUCCUACGGGAGGCAGCAGUGGGGAAUAUUGCACAAUGGGCGCAAGCCUGAUGCAGCGACGCCGCGUGAGGGAUGACGGCCUUCGGGUUGUAAACCUCUUUCACCAGGGACGAAGCGCAAGUGACGGUACCUGGAGAAGAAGCACCGGCCAACUACGUGCCAGCAGCCGCGGUAAUACGUAGGGUGCGAGCGUUGUCCGGAAUUACUGGGCGUAAAGAGCUCGUGGGUGGUUUGUCGCGUUGUUCGUGAAAACUCACAGCUUAACUGUGGGCGUGCGGGCGAUACGGGCAGACUAGAGUACUGCAGGGGAGACUGGAAUUCCUGGUGUAGCGGUGGAAUGCGCAGAUAUCAGGAGGAACACCGGUGGCGAAGGCGGGUCUCUGGGCAGUAACUGACGCUGAGGAGCGAAAGCGUGGGGAGCGAACAGGAUUAGAUACCCUGGUAGUCC
Molecule: ribosomal RNA, 771 nt
Filed under: uncultured bacterium
Lineage: Bacteria
Description: bacterial SSU rRNA
Rfam family: Bacterial small subunit ribosomal RNA
Source: RNAcentral